Molecule: ribosomal RNA, 301 nt
Filed under: uncultured bacterium
Lineage: Bacteria
Description: partial 16S ribosomal RNA
Rfam family: Bacterial small subunit ribosomal RNA
Source: RNAcentral
CAGUAGCCGCGGUAAUACGGAGGAUCCAAGCGUUAUCCGGAAUCAUUGGGUUUAAAGGGUCCGUAGGCGGUCUUGUAAGUCAGUGGUGAAAGCCCAUCGCUCAACGGUGGAACGGCCAUUGAUACUGCAGGACUUGAAUUAUUGGGAAGUAACUAGAAUAUGUAGUGUAGCGGUGAAAUGCUUAGAGAUUACAUGGAAUACCAAUUGCGAAGGCAGGUUACUACCAAUUGAUUGACGCUGAUGGACGAAAGCGUGGGUAGCGAACAGGAUUAGAUACCCCGGUAGUCCCUGUCUCUUAUAA